UCAGUAUCAAAAUGCCCGUUUUUUUGCUGAUGUGGCAGUCCAAUAUGACAACUCUCAAUUAUUAAUAGGCGUUUGUCCACACGCACCUGGCCAACGUGACACAUCUUUAAUUUCCCUCCAUUUUUUAUUAAUUUCUCCCCUUCCUCCAUCCAUCUACUCUUCUUCUUCAAAAAAAAAAAAAAAAAAAAAAUCUCUCAAUUUUCCAUACUCCGUUUUCAAUAUGAGGAUCUGAAAAUCCAUACCUAAUUCUCCUUCAUCCUCAUCAACAUCAUCAUCAUCUUCAUUAGGAAUUGAAAAAAACAAAAUCACACCAAAUCAGCUCAAAGAAUCUCCAAACAAGCAACUUCCAAUCAAAAUUUCUAAGUUGUGUUUGGGAGUUGAUAUCGUAGUCUAUAAAAAUUGGUACUUUUAAUUUUAUAUUCCAUAAUUGCCGCAGUUGGUACUAAAAAAAAAAAGGAGAAAAAGGAAUUUAUUUCCCUUCAUCUUUGUUUUUUCGUUGGAUUUGUAAGAAUUUAUAUGGGUAUGUGAAAAAGUGAACAAAUUUUUUUAUUUUUUUUAAUAAGAUGAAUCAAGAAAUUAUGUGGGCGUGGGACCUUGGGCUUCAUGGUGAAGAAAGAAGGUGUUGGAGAUGAAAAUGGUGAUAAGGAAGGUUUAUUAAUGGUUGAACGAAGCAAGAGAGUAAAGAGAAAGCUCUAGGGAGUGAAGUAGCCAUUGAGGGCUGGAGAAAAAAAAAAAAAAAAAACUCUCACCUGUUGGAUAAUUAGCACUUAGCAGGCUUUCAUUGAAAUGUUGAAUAAAAUUAAUCAAACUUUUGAGCAAGUAUAUGAUGACAAAGAGGCUAGAUAAUGUGAAUUAUAUAGAGUGAUGCAAGCAGAUAAAUCGGAACACUUUUGAAACUAAAUUAAUUUUUGAUAUGUUUUCAAUAGAUUGUAUGCUUUUUUAGGGUGUUUAAUGGCUUUGAAAUUUCAUGGAUUUCUGAAAGUUUUGAAUAAAACAGUUUUCACAUUAUUUCAUAUAUUUGGCACAGCUUGUACCAUGUUACUUCAUCUUUUGCCGAAGCUACCUUAAGAUCAUAUUUCUGUAGCUUUAUAUGUUUUAGAAUGCUGAUUUUCACAACUAUAUCUUGGUGUUGUGAGAGAUGACUUUCCGCUUUACCAACACGUGUUACUAUUUUUUUUGGUUUCUUGAAACUGCAUUUUUCUCUGUACGUUCUCUGGCACUUUUACCAUUUCACAAAGGCAAACAAGGAGACUGUUAAGAUCCAGAGCGUGGUUGCUCUGGUGGGUCAAAUGCACAGCUAAAGGACCUAAUGGAAGCCCAUAUGGUAAGUAGCCGUAGAUUUUCAUAUGUGCUUGCAUGUGCCGGCACAAAUGCUCAAUUAAUGAGCUGAAGUUUUAUUUUAUGGGAUAAACUUAGCCUGACAAGUUGUUCUUUCAUUUAUAAUUUUCUCAAUUGUGUAUCCAAGUGCUAUAAGAUAUUAUUAACCGGGGUGGUGUAGUUAAAUUGAUUUACUUCAUUGAUUGAUUUAUAACACUUCACUUCACCUAAAUUUUCCUUGCCUUAAGAUUGUGACUGUUUGUGGCUUAUAUGGGUUCGGCAGGUUAGUUUUUAAUUCUCACUCAUAGGAGCUUGAACUUGCUAUGAGAAUGUGAAUAUUGGCAUUUGGUGUUUGUUUCCUUCAUUGAUUAAAACUUCACUAUCAAGUAGAACUUCAACUUCAUAUGUAACAAAACUUUUGUAUUUUAAGAAAGCCACCAACAAAAUGACUUCUUGAUUUUCUAGCCAUGCUUUUUUCUCUUUUUUAUUUUAUUUUAUUUGUUCCAUGUUUUUUCUGUGUUCCUUUUCUGUAUAAUCGGAUUGUGAUGAUUUAAUUAUCUAUUCUAGUGCUUCACUUUAUUUUCCUAGCUUCGACCUCAAGAAAAUUAAAAAUAAAAUAAGUGAAACUACUUAACCAGUGAUUUGAUCUCACAAGUGAGAAUUGUUUCAGCAGAGUUUAAGUUCAUUAUUACUGUUUAUGCUUCAUUUUUCCUGAUGACAGAAACUUGGAAACACAAAGAUGUCGUGUUGCCUGAUUUUUGUAUUUUCAAGUUCCAAUCGUAGCAUAUGAUGUUCUGAGAAGGCAGAUUGACCAGGAUUAUGUAUGGAAUUGUUGCUCGGCAACUCCAGCAAUGGCAAAGGAGAAAUGAAUGGAACAAAUGGAUAGAAUAUUAGCUGCAAAAGAGGACUUGUCCAUGCUGCCAUUAGAUGUUUCUAAUUGGUGACACAAUUUUCAUACCUAAAAAGAGUUUUCCUACUUUGGCAGUGGCUAAAUUGUAAGUUUUUUACCUUUAAGUUGUCACAAUUUGGUCAUUGCACUUCACAUCACACGUGGCUUGCAAUUACCAAUCUAAAAGUCUAUUCGUGUGUUUCGUAUUCCCCUUCCUCUAGUAUUAAUAGUUCAAGAUUCACGCUUUAUCAAUA
Molecule: long non-coding RNA, 2460 nt
Organism: Lycium barbarum (goji berry)
Lineage: Eukaryota; Viridiplantae; Streptophyta; Magnoliopsida; Solanales; Solanaceae
Exons: 2
Source: RefSeq, a predicted model, not a curated record